Molecule: ribosomal RNA, 230 nt
Filed under: uncultured microorganism
Description: partial 16S ribosomal RNA
Rfam family: Bacterial small subunit ribosomal RNA
Source: RNAcentral
UACGUAGGGCGCGAGCGUUGUCCGGAAUUAUUGGGCGUAAAGAGCUCGUAGGCGGCUGGUCGCGUCUGUCGUGAAAUCCUCUGGCUUAACUGGGGGCUUGCGGUGGGUACGGGCCGGCUUGAGUGCGGUAGGGGAGACUGGAACUCCUGGUGUAGCGGUGGAAUGCGCAGAUAUCAGGAAGAACACCGGUGGCGAAGGCGGGUCUCUGGGCCGUUACUGACGCUGAGGAG